Molecule: ribosomal RNA, 702 nt
Filed under: Triticum aestivum (bread wheat)
Lineage: Eukaryota; Viridiplantae; Streptophyta; Magnoliopsida; Poales; Poaceae
Description: partial small subunit ribosomal RNA
Source: RNAcentral
CUUGAAGUGGCCGCCUGGGACUCCCUCCUCCAGGACAUUGCUCUUAUGCCGAUGGAUGUGGCGGAGGACCGGGAUGUUCUGUCCUGGCACCUCGAGCCUUCUGGAUGUUUCUCCACGAAGUCCUUAUACAGCGCCAUUGCUCCAUCGUCAGCCAUGGAACCAUUUAGCCUGGUCUGGGAUAUCCGUCUCCCGCUGAAGAUCAAGAUCUUCCUGUGGCAAUGGAUCCGUGGCCGGCUCCCCUCCGGUGUUGAGGUCCUCAAGCGGAAUGGCCCGGGUGAUGGGAGGUGCCCCAUCUGUGGCACCAUUGAGGAUGCUAACCACAUCUUUUUCUCGUGCCACUCUGCCCAGUUCCUUUGGGCCUGCUUCCGCGAAACGGUUGGUGGACAGUGGUGUAAUACCAACUUCCCCGAACUGCUUGCCGAGCUUAACGCCUGCCCUGCCCGCUACCGCCAUAUUAGAUGGCUGUGCGUGGGGGUUCUCGCAUGGACGCUUUGGAACAUUCGUAAUAAGCUUGUUAUUCAGAAGGUGCUCCGUCGUCGUGCGACUGACACAAUCUUCAAAUUGUGUGGUUACCUGCAGUUUUGGCGGCCGCUUAGCCGCCCCCAGGACCGGGACGUCAUCACCGCCCUCCUCUCCGAUCUCCGCUCGAUGGCGCUCCGCGUGGCUCCCCCAUUGCUGCCUCCUCCUCCUGAGCCUGACUAG